GAUGAAGAACGCAGCGAAAUGCGAUAAGUAAUGUGAAUUGCAGAAUUCAGUGAAUCAUCGAAUCUUUGAACGCACAUUGCGCCCGCCAGUAUUCUGGCGGGCAUGCCUGUCUGAGCGUCAUUUCAACCCUCAUGCCCCUAGGGCGUGGUGUUGGGGAUCGGCCAAAGCCCGCGAGGGACGGCCGGCCCCUAAAUCUAGUGGCGGACCCGUCGUGGCCUCCUCUGCGAAGUAGUAAUAUUCCGCAUCGGAGAGCGAUGAGCCCCUGCCGUUAAACCCCCAACUUUCCAAGGUUGACCUCAGAUCAGGUAGGAAUACCCGCUGAACUUAAGCAUAUCAAUAAGCGGAGGA
Molecule: unclassified non-coding RNA, 348 nt
Filed under: soil metagenome
Description: partial contains 5.8S ribosomal RNA, internal transcribed spacer 2, and large subunit ribosomal RNA
Rfam family: 5.8S ribosomal RNA (bases 1-120)
Source: RNAcentral